ACGCGGGUCUCCUGCGCGGAUUGGCGAUGAAUUUAUACGUAUACGUGCUGUUCUCCGCGGUGUUUCUGAGUGAGUGGAUCGUCACAGGGCUAGGCCUCGGGACGCGUCUGGUGACGUGGGCGCCUGAGAUAAUGUCAGGCGCAACCCUGCUGGUGGUGGGAAUGCGGCUGGCAACCGAUCGCGCCAUCUUAGUACCGCAAAAGUACAUUAUUCUCUUCAGCAUCAUGAUCGUGCUAGUCAUAGUCGGGGUCGUAGCAAAUACCGUGCAGUCAGGAGCGAUCUUCGCUGGUCUGCGCCGGUAUUUUCGCUACGCACCGAUCUUCCUUCUGCCCAUCGUUUAUCAGUUUUCGGACCACCAGUUCAAGCAACAGCUCAAGUUUUUCCUUGUUGUUGCGCUUUUGCAGCUCCCGAUUGCCGUGUAUCAACGUAUGACCCUUUACCCGAUCUAUCGCUCGGGCGACGUCAUAACGGGAACCAUCGGGGGCUCGGGACUUUUGACCAUCUUUCAGGUCUGCGUCAUAGCUAUGCUGACUGCCU
This 537-nucleotide unclassified non-coding RNA is filed under the name plant metagenome. RNAcentral's name for it is "partial contains 5.8S ribosomal RNA, internal transcribed spacer 2, and large subunit ribosomal RNA". The record is from RNAcentral.